GAUGUUACGUUGGUUCAUGCAUGUGAUUAAGAGGUGCUCGGAUGCUCCAGUACGAAAGUGUGAAAGACUGACUAUGGAUGAUUUUAUACGGGGUAGAGGUAGUAGGCCAAAAAAAUAUUGAAAGAAGGUGAUUAGGCAUGAUAUGGAGUAGUUACAACUUACAGAGGACAAGACCUUGAUAGGAAGGAAUGGAGGAUGUGAAUUAGG
This 207-nucleotide long non-coding RNA is filed under the name Capsicum annuum. RNAcentral describes it as "long non-coding RNA (CANN_LNC011926)". The record is from RNAcentral. Lineage: Eukaryota; Viridiplantae; Streptophyta; Magnoliopsida; Solanales; Solanaceae.